UACGGAGGAUGCAAGCGUUAUCCGGAAUGAUUGGGCGUAAAGAGUCCGUAGGUGGUUGUGAAAGUCUGUGGUUAAAGCGCGAAGCUCAACUUCGUAAAGGCCAUGGAAACUAUGCGACUAGAGUGAGAUAGGGGUAGAGGGAAUUCUUGGUGUAGCGGUGAAAUGCGUAGAUAUCAAGAAGAACACCGGUGGCGAAAGCGCUCUACUGGAUCUUAACUGACACUGAGGGACGAAAGCUAGGGGAGCGAAAGGG
This 253-nucleotide ribosomal RNA is filed under the name uncultured bacterium. RNAcentral's name for it is "partial 16S ribosomal RNA". It matches the Rfam family "Bacterial small subunit ribosomal RNA", at positions 524 to 776 of the family's 1533-position model. The record is from RNAcentral.